Molecule: ribosomal RNA, 446 nt
Filed under: uncultured bacterium
Lineage: Bacteria
Description: partial 16S ribosomal RNA
Rfam family: Bacterial small subunit ribosomal RNA
Source: RNAcentral
UCCAGACUCCUACGGGAGGCAGCAGUGGGGGAUAUUGCACAAUGGGGGGAACCCUGAUGCAGCGACGCCGCGUGGGUGAAGGAGCGUUUCGGCGCGUAAAGCCCUCUCGGCAGGGAAGAAGGAGGACGGUACCUGACUAAGAAGCCCCGGCUAACUACGUGCCAGCAGCCGCGGUAAUACGUAGGGGGCAAGCGUUAUCCGGAUUUACUGGGUGUAAAGGGGGCGCAGACGGCAGCGCAAGCCAGGAGUGAAAGCCCGGGGCCCAACCCCGGGACUGCUCUUGGAACUGCGCGGCUGGAGUGCAGGAGGGGCAGGCGGAAUUCCUGGUGUAGCGGUGAAAUGCGUAGAUAUCAGGAGGAACACCGGCGGCGAAGGCGGCCUGCUGGACUGCAACUGACGUUGAGGCCCGAAAGCGUGGGGAGCAAACAGGAUUAGAUACCCCGGUA